UAGUAUGUCUGAUAUAAAACA
Non-coding RNA from Caenorhabditis elegans, 21 nucleotides. The record is from Ensembl. Lineage: Eukaryota; Metazoa; Nematoda; Chromadorea; Rhabditida; Rhabditidae.